CUUUCAAAAAUGCAAUAACUAAAUGAGAACUGAUAUCUUUUAAAAUGACCCUUUAUAGUUCGUGAUUUGAAAUAUUUAUCCCUUAUGGUGGAGAAUUCAAC
Haliotis rubra (blacklip abalone) is the source of this 101-nucleotide long non-coding RNA. RefSeq lists it as uncharacterized. The record is from RefSeq and is a predicted model, not a curated record. The transcript has 3 exons. Lineage: Eukaryota; Metazoa; Mollusca; Gastropoda; Lepetellida; Haliotidae.